GACGAACGCUGGCGGCGUGCUUAACACAUGCAAGUCGAGCGGUAAGGCCCUUUCGGGGGUACACGAGCGGCGAACGGGUGAGUAACACGUGGGAACCUACCUUCUGGUACGGAACAACCAAGGGAAACUUUGGCUAAGACCGUAUACGACCUCCGGGUGAAAGAUUGAUCGCCGGAAGAGGGGCCCGCGUCCGAUUAGGUAGUUGGUGAGGUAACGGCUCACCAAGCCUUCGAUCGGUAGCUGGUCUGAGAGGAUGACCAGCCACACUGGGACUGAGACACGGCCCAGACUCCUACGGGAGGCAGCAGUGGGGAAUAUUGGACAAUGGGCGCAAGCCUGAUCCAGCCAUGCCGCGUGAGUGAUGAAGGCCUUC
This 373-nucleotide ribosomal RNA is filed under the name uncultured bacterium. RNAcentral describes it as "bacterial SSU rRNA". It matches the Rfam family "Bacterial small subunit ribosomal RNA", at positions 28 to 419 of the family's 1533-position model. The record is from RNAcentral.